Molecule: ribosomal RNA, 770 nt
Filed under: uncultured bacterium
Lineage: Bacteria
Description: bacterial SSU rRNA
Rfam family: Bacterial small subunit ribosomal RNA
Source: RNAcentral
CGGCGGACGGGUGAGUAACACGUGGGGCAACCUGCAUCAUAGAGGGGAAUAGCCUUUCGAAAAGGGAGAUUAAUACCGCAUAAGAUUGUAGUUCCGCAUGGUACAGCAAUUAAAGGAGCAAUCCGCUAUGAGAUGGGCAUGCGUUCCAUUAGCUUGUUGGUGAGGUAACUGCUCACCAAGGCAUCGAUGGAUAGGGGAACUGAGAGGUUUGUCCCCCACACUGGAACUGAGACACGGUCCAGACUCCUACGGGAGGCAGCAGUGAGGAAUAUUGGUCAAUGGACGCAAGUCUGAACCAGCCAAGUCGCGUGAAGGAUGACGGCCCUACGGGUUGUAAACUUCUUUUUUAAGGGAAUAAAGUGAGCCACGUGUGGCUCUUUGCAUGUACCUUACGAAUAAGGAUCGGCUAACUCCGUGCCAGCAGCCGCGGUAAUACGGAGGAUCCAAGCGCUAUCCGGAUUUAUUGGGUUUAAAGGGUGCGCAGGCGGAAUAUUAAGUCGGCGGUGAAAGUUUGCAGCUUAACUGUAAAAUUGCCGUUGAUACUGGUAUUCUUGAGUGUAUAUGAAGUAGGCGGAAUUUGUAGUGUAGCGGUGAAAUGCAUAGAUAUUACAAGGAACUCCAAUUGCGAAGGCAGCUUACUAAAUUACAACUGACGCUCAGGCACGAAGGCGUGGGUAUCAAACAGGAUUAGAUACCCUGGUAGUCCACGCAGUAAACUAUGAUUACUCGCUGUUUGCGAUACACGGUAAGCGGCUUAGCGAAAGCGUAAG